RNAcentral lists this long non-coding RNA (744 nucleotides) under Panax ginseng (ginseng). Its description in RNAcentral is "long non-coding RNA (PGIN_LNC012285)". Lineage: Eukaryota; Viridiplantae; Streptophyta; Magnoliopsida; Apiales; Araliaceae. The record is from RNAcentral.
GUGUAUAAGAAUGUCGGUAAUUAGAAGGAAACCCUAAUUACUGUUGUACGUUGAUAAUUAGGACAAACCCUAAUUAUUAUAACCCUAAUCGGUUGAAGUUAGAGACUGUAACGACUGUGUUAGAACACACACAGAUAAUUAGAGAACCCUAAUGGUCAAUUAGAAACCCUAAUUGAUGGCGUUAAGAAACCCUAAUUUUAGAACCCUAAUUUUUCAAUCAAAAACCCUAAUUUAAAAUUAUUGGGUUUAAUUACGAUGUUAAUGUAUAAAUAUUUUAAUUUACCAAAGGAUGAAAAGUAAUUGGUAAAUGAUAAGAAUUACCAUCACACUUGCUCAUCACACUUAUUUCUUGACCACUAAGAUCACCCAUGUGAUCAUGGGUUGUCCCAUGGAUCCUCCUAAUCCAUUGGAUUCUCACUUUGGGCUUGAGGUUUAAUUAAUCCUAACUUAUACAUUGGGCUUGAAAUUAAACAAACACUUGGGCUUGUUUAAUAGUUUACAUUGGACUUAACAUUACAAAUAUUUGGGCUUUAACAUUAAUUCGUAUUGGGUUUUAGUAUUAUCCCAAUUGGACAUUACAAUAUCCUACACAUUCCUACAAAUUCAAUACAUUUGGCUUAAAGUCUCAUAACGUAUAAUUUAUAUAUUCAUCUCGUUUCUCACUCGUAUACUUAUUUAAUAUACGAUAUUCCAUCAUUCAUACAUACUCGUAUAAUACUUCAUAUUAUACUCGUAUUCAUUACC